AAGACCUUUGGUCCCAGCCCAUACCAGGGUAAUCCUGAGUGCGAAUGACUGCGCCACCCCUAGUUGGGAGUGUGAGUCUCGCCAGCCACACUACACACGCUGCUCCUCAGCACACUCCCUGAGGGUCCCGAUGGGUACUGGGAUGGCGACCCUUGAA
This 157-nucleotide non-coding RNA is filed under the name Eutreptiella gymnastica. The record is from RNAcentral. Lineage: Eukaryota; Euglenozoa; Euglenophyceae; Eutreptiales; Eutreptiaceae.